AUGAGACAGCUACACCGAAGUAUUGAUCUCCCAUGGAUUUUGUUAGGUGACCUUAAUGAAAUAUAGUUCUUGCACAAGAAAGAAGGCAGGAAUCCAUGUCCAUGUCAGUAUAUGCGAGCCUUCCAGAGCGCUAUUGAUGAUUGCAAGCUACAUGACUUGGGGUUUAUUAGUGACCGCUUCACAUGGCAUAGAGGGCGAGUUAGAGAUAGGUUGGAUAGGGGACUUGUUAAUGAUGCAUGGGAAACACUCUUCCCCAAUGCAACAUUGGAAAAUAUGGAGUACAUCCAUUCUAAUCAUCGACCCUUGUGUGUAAAUAUUGAAUAUUAUAACCAACACGAAGCACCAAACAAUAGACAACAAAAUAUAUAG
Molecule: ribosomal RNA, 369 nt
Filed under: Triticum aestivum (bread wheat)
Lineage: Eukaryota; Viridiplantae; Streptophyta; Magnoliopsida; Poales; Poaceae
Description: partial small subunit ribosomal RNA
Source: RNAcentral